Molecule: ribosomal RNA, 440 nt
Filed under: uncultured bacterium
Lineage: Bacteria
Description: partial 16S ribosomal RNA
Rfam family: Bacterial small subunit ribosomal RNA
Source: RNAcentral
CCUACGGGAGGCUGCAGUAGGGAAUAUUGCUCAAUGGGGGAAACCCUGAAGCAGCAACGCCGCGUGGAGGAUGAAGGUUUUAGGAUUGUAAACUCCUUUUGUGAGAGAAGAUAAUGACGGUAUCUCACGAAUAAGCACCGGCUAACUCCGUGCCAGCAGCCGCGGUAAUACGGAGGGUGCAAGCGUUACUCGGAAUCACUGGGCGUAAAGAGUGCGCAGGCGGGCUUGUAAGUCAGAUGUGAAAUCCUGUAGCUUAACUACAGAACUGCAUUUGAAACUAUGAGUCUAGAGUGUGGGAGAGGUAGGUGGAAUUCGUGGUGUAGGGGUAAAAUGCGUAGAUAUCAAGAGGAAUACUCAUUGCGAAGGCGGCCUACUGGAACAUUACUGACGCUCAUGCACGAAAGCGUGGGGAGCAAACAGGAUUAGAUACCCUUGUAGUC